UACGUAGGGGGCUAGCGUUGUCCGGAUUUAUUGGGCGUAAAGAGCGUGUAGGCGGCCAUGUAGGUCCGGUGUGAAAACUCGAGGCUUAACCUCGAGAUGUCAUCGGAAACCAUUUGGCUAGAGUCCGGAAGAGGAGAGUGGAAUUCCACGUGUAGCGGUGAAAUGCGUAGAGAUGUGGAGGAACACCAGUGGCGAAGGCGACUUUCUGGGCUGUAACUGACGCUGAGGCGCGAAAGCGUGGGGAGCAAACAGG
This 253-nucleotide ribosomal RNA is filed under the name uncultured bacterium. Its description in RNAcentral is "partial 16S ribosomal RNA". It matches the Rfam family "Bacterial small subunit ribosomal RNA", at positions 524 to 776 of the family's 1533-position model. The record is from RNAcentral.